RNAcentral lists this ribosomal RNA (1590 nucleotides) under Escherichia coli WV_060327. Its description in RNAcentral is "LSU rRNA". It matches the Rfam family "Bacterial large subunit ribosomal RNA", at positions 1377 to 2925 of the family's 2925-position model. Lineage: Bacteria; Pseudomonadati; Pseudomonadota; Gammaproteobacteria; Enterobacterales; Enterobacteriaceae. The record is from RNAcentral.
GGGUGAGUCGACCCCUAAGGCGAGGCCGAAAGGCGUAGUCGAUGGGAAACAGGUUAAUAUUCCUGUACUUGGUGUUACUGCGAAGGGGGGACGGAGAAGGCUAUGUUGGCCGGGCGACGGUUGUCCCGGUUUAAGCGUGUAGGCUGGUUUUCCAGGCAAAUCCGGAAAACCAAGGCUGAGGCGUGAUGACGAGGCACUACGGUGCUGAAGCGACAAAUGCCCUGCUUCCAGGAAAAGCCUCUAAGCAUCAGGUAACAUCAAAUCGUACCCCAAACCGACACAGGUGGUCAGGUAGAGAAUACCAAGGCGCUUGAGAGAACUCGGGUGAAGGAACUAGGCAAAAUGGUGCCGUAACUUCGGGAGAAGGCACGCUGAUAUGUAGGUGAAGCGACUUGCUCGUGGAGCUGAAAUCAGUCGAAGAUACCAGCUGGCUGCAACUGUUUAUUAAAAACACAGCACUGUGCAAACACGAAAGUGGACGUAUACGGUGUGACGCCUGCCCGGUGCCGGAAGGUUAAUUGAUGGGGUUAGCGGUAACGCGAAGCUCUUGAUCGAAGCCCCGGUAAACGGCGGCCGUAACUAUAACGGUCCUAAGGUAGCGAAAUUCCUUGUCGGGUAAGUUCCGACCUGCACGAAUGGCGUAAUGAUGGCCAGGCUGUCUCCACCCGAGACUCAGUGAAAUUGAACUCGCUGUGAAGAUGCAGUGUACCCGCGGCAAGACGGAAAGACCCCGUGAACCUUUACUAUAGCUUGACACUGAACAUUGAGCCUUGAUGUGUAGGAUAGGUGGGAGGCUUUGAAGUGUGGACGCCAGUCUGCAUGGAGCCGACCUUGAAAUACCACCCUUUAAUGUUUGAUGUUCUAACGUGGGCCCCUUACCGGGGUUGCGGACAGUGUCUGGUGGGUAGUUUGACUGGGGCGGUCUCCUCCUAAAGAGUAACGGAGGAGCACGAAGGUUGGCUAAUCCUGGUCGGACAUCAGGAGGUUAGUGCAAUGGCAUAAGCCAGCUUGACUGCGAGCGUGACGGCGCGAGCAGGUGCGAAAGCAGGUCAUAGUGAUCCGGUGGUUCUGAAUGGAAGGGCCAUCGCUCAACGGAUAAAAGGUACUCCGGGGAUAACAGGCUGAUACCGCCCAAGAGUUCAUAUCGACGGCGGUGUUUGGCACCUCGAUGUCGGCUCAUCACAUCCUGGGGCUGAAGUAGGUCCCAAGGGUAUGGCUGUUCGCCAUUUAAAGUGGUACGCGAGCUGGGUUUAGAACGUCGUGAGACAGUUCGGUCCCUAUCUGCCGUGGGCGCUGGAGAACUGAGGGGGGCUGCUCCUAGUACGAGAGGACCGGAGUGGACGCAUCACUGGUGUUCGGGUUGUCAUGCCAAUGGCACUGCCCGGUAGCUAAAUGCGGAAGAGAUAAGUGCUGAAAGCAUCUAAGCACGAAACUUGCCCCGAGAUGAGUUCUCCCUGACUCCUUGAGGGUCCUGAAGGAACGUUGAAGACGACGACGUUGAUAGGCCGGGUGUGUAAGCGCAGCGAUGCGUUGAGCUAACCGGUACUAAUGAACCGUGAGGCUUAACCUUACAACGCCGAAGAUGUUUUG